RNAcentral lists this ribosomal RNA (1024 nucleotides) under Ulva linza. RNAcentral describes it as "large subunit ribosomal RNA". It matches the Rfam family "Bacterial large subunit ribosomal RNA", at positions 1898 to 2925 of the family's 2925-position model. The record is from RNAcentral. Lineage: Eukaryota; Viridiplantae; Chlorophyta; Ulvophyceae; Ulvales; Ulvaceae. RNAcentral also lists the same sequence under 1 other name.
GAAAAAGCUGACGACUGAAGCCCCGGUGAACGGCGGCUGUAACUCUGACAGUCCUAAGGUAGCGAAAUUCCUUGUCGAGUAAGUUUCGACCCGCACGAAAGACGUAACGAUCUGGGCACUGUCUCGGAGAGAGACUCGGUGAAAUAGAAAUGUCUGUGAAGAUGCGGACUACUUAUACCAGGACAGAAAGACCCUAUGAAGCUUGACUGUAAUUUGGAAUUGGGUUCGGGCUUUUUUUGCGCAGUCUAGGUGGGAGGCGUUGAUAUUAAGUUUUCGGACUUAAUGGAGCCAUCAGUGAGAGACCACUCUAAAAGAGCUAGAAUUCUAAUAGGACUCCUUGAAUCAGGAUCCUUGACAGUUUCAGAUGGACAGUUUGACUGGGGCGGUGACCUCCCAAAAGGUAACGGAGGUGUGCAAAGGUUCCCUCAAGCUGGACGGAAAUCAGCUGUAGAGUGCAAAGGUAUAAGGGAGCUUGACUGCAAGACCAACAAGUCGAGCAGAGGCGAAAGCCGGCCUUAGUGAUCCGACGGUUCCGAGUGGAAGGGCCGUCGCUCAACGGAUAAAAGUUACUCUAGGGAUAACAGGCUGAUCUCCCCCAAGAGUUCACAUCGACGGGGAGGUUUGGCACCUCGAUGUCGUUUCAUCGCAACCUGGGGCUGGAGUAGGUCCCAAGGGUUGGGCUGUUCGCCCAUAAAAGCGGUACGUGAGAUGGGUUCAGAACGUCGCGAGACAGUUCGGUCCAUAUCCGGUAUAAGCGUAAGAGCAUUGAGAGGAUCUCAACAUUGUACGAGAGGACCCGAAGGGACGUACCGAUGGUGUACCAGUUCUUAUGCCAAUAGGAAACGCUGGGUAGCUAUGUACGGAGUGGAUAAUCGCUGAAAGCAUUUAAGUGAGAAGCCCACCUCAAGAUGAAUGCUCUCUAUCAGAUCGCGGCAAGACAAGCCGAUAGAUUGGCAUCAAGUGUAAGAUUAGUAAUAAUUUCAGCUGAGAUGUACAAAAGAUCGAUUGAUUUUGACCUUAUAUA